UGUGUGUAAUAUUGACUGUUCUCAAACCAACUUCAAUCCCCUCUGCGCUUCUGAUGGGAAAUCUUAUGAUAAUGCAUGCCAAAUCAAAGAAGCAUCGUGUCAGAAACAGGAGAAAAUUGAAGUCAUGUCUUUGGGUCGAUGUCAAGAUAACACAACUACAACUACUAAGUCUGAAGAUGGGCAUUAUGCAAGAACAGAUUAUGCAGAGAAGAGAAAGCAAGAGGAAAGUGUUUGCUACUGAGUAAUCCUGCAUUAAUAAAAAAUAAAAAUAAACAGA
This 277-nucleotide small RNA is filed under the name Pan troglodytes (chimpanzee). RNAcentral's name for it is "processed transcript". Lineage: Eukaryota; Metazoa; Chordata; Mammalia; Primates; Hominidae. The record is from RNAcentral.